RNAcentral lists this ribosomal RNA (331 nucleotides) under uncultured bacterium. Its description in RNAcentral is "bacterial SSU rRNA". It matches the Rfam family "Bacterial small subunit ribosomal RNA", at positions 570 to 898 of the family's 1533-position model. The record is from RNAcentral.
CGUAGGCGGUGAGUACAGUCAGGCGUGAAAUUCCCCGGGCUCAACCCUGGGGGCUGCGCUUGAGACGUGCACACUUGAGUCCGGAAGAGGGUGGUGGAAUUCCCAGUGUAGAGGUGAAAUUCGUAGAUAUUGGGAAGAACACCGGUGGCGAAGGCGGCCACCUGGUCCGGUACUGACGCUGAGGCGCGAAAGCGUGGGGAGCAAACAGGAUUAGAUACCCUGGUAGUCCACGCCGUAAACGAUGUGCGCUGGAUGUUGGGCGGUCUGACCGUUCAGUGUCGUAGCCAACGCGGUAAGCGCACCGCCUGGGGAGUACGGCCGCAAGGUUGAA